RNAcentral lists this ribosomal RNA (253 nucleotides) under uncultured bacterium. RNAcentral describes it as "partial 16S ribosomal RNA". It matches the Rfam family "Bacterial small subunit ribosomal RNA", at positions 524 to 776 of the family's 1533-position model. The record is from RNAcentral.
UACAGAGGGGGCAAGCGUUGUUCGGAAUUACUGGGCGUAAAGGGCGCGUAGGCGGCCUGCUAAGUCGAACGUGAAAUCCCCGGGCUUAACCCGGGAACUGCGUCCGAUACUGGUUGGCUUGAAUUCGGGAGAGGGAUGCGGAAUUCCAGGUGUAGCGGUGAAAUGCGUAGAUAUCUGGAGGAACACCGGUGGCGAAGGCGGCAUCCUGGACCAACACUGACACUGAGGAGCGAAAGCCAGGGGAGCAAACGGG